RNAcentral lists this ribosomal RNA (484 nucleotides) under uncultured bacterium. RNAcentral's name for it is "partial 16S ribosomal RNA". It matches the Rfam family "Bacterial small subunit ribosomal RNA", at positions 30 to 507 of the family's 1533-position model. The record is from RNAcentral.
AUUGAACGCUGGCGGCAGGCCUAACACAUGCAAGUCGAGCGGAUGAAGGGAGCUUGCUCUUGGAUUCAGCGGCGGACGGGUGAGUAAUGCCUAGGAAUCUGCCUGGUAGUGGGGGAUAACGUCCGGAAACGGGCGCUAAUACCGCAUACGUCCUGAGGGAGAAAGUGGGGGAUCUUCGGACCUCACGCUAUCAGAUGAGCCUAGGUCGGAUUAGCUAGUUGGUGGGGUAAAGGCCUACCAAGGCGACGAUCCGUAACUGGUCUGAGAGGAUGAUCAGUCACACUGGAACUGAGACACGGUCCAGACUCCUACGGGAGGCAGCAGUGGGGAAUAUUGGACAAUGGGCGAAAGCCUGAUCCAGCCAUGCCGCGUGUGUGAAGAAGGUCUUCGGAUUGUAAAGCACUUUAAGUUGGGAGGAAGGGCAGUAAGUUAAUACCUUGCUGUUUUGACGUUACCAACAGAAUAAGCACCGGCUAACUACGUG